Small nucleolar RNA from Alligator sinensis (Chinese alligator), 126 nucleotides. RefSeq annotates it as small nucleolar RNA ACA64. NCBI's taxonomy places the organism in Eukaryota, Metazoa, Chordata, Crocodylia, Alligatoridae. The transcript has a single exon. The record is from RefSeq and is a predicted model, not a curated record.
AGUGCGGGGAAGUGACAGUGGCCAUGGGGAUGCACUGGGCACCAGAUCCCCAGCCAGGUGCAGGGGAGCUGCAGCUGAGUGGUUACUGCCCCAGUGCACAGGGCUCAAGCUCCAGCUCCCAGCUGC